UACGAAGGGGGCUAGCGUUGCUCGGAAUCACUGGGCGUAAAGCGCACGUAGGCGGCUUUCUAAGUCAGGGGUGAAAUCCUGGAGCUCAACUCCAGAACUGCCUUUGAUACUGGAGAGCUUGAGUCCGGGAGAGAUGAGUGGAACUCCGAGUGUAGAGGUGAAAUUCGUAGAUAUUCGGAAGAACACCAGUGGCGAAGGCGGCUCACUGGCCCGGUACUGACGCUGAGGUGCGAAAGCGUGGGGAGCAAACAGG
RNAcentral lists this ribosomal RNA (253 nucleotides) under uncultured bacterium. RNAcentral describes it as "partial 16S ribosomal RNA". It matches the Rfam family "Bacterial small subunit ribosomal RNA", at positions 524 to 776 of the family's 1533-position model. The record is from RNAcentral.